UAAUACGAAGGGGGCUAGCGUUGUUCGGAUUUACUGGGCGUAAAGCGCACGUAGGCGGAUUGAUUAGUUAGGGGUGAAAUCCCGAGGCUCAACCUCGGAACUGCCUCUAAAACUGUCAAUCUCGAGACCGGAAGAGGUGAGUGGAACUCCUAGUGUAGAGGUGGAAUUCGUAGAUAUUAGGAAGAACACCAGUGGCGAAGGCGGCUCACUGGUCCGGUACUGACGCUGAGGUGCGAAAGCGUGGGGAGCGAACAGGAUUAGAUACCCUGGUAGUCCACGCCGUAAACGAUGAGAGCUAGUCGUUGGGGGAUUUAUUCUUCAGUGACGCAGCUAACGCAUUAAGCUCUCCGCCUGGGGAGUACGGUCGCAAGAUUA
Molecule: ribosomal RNA, 375 nt
Filed under: uncultured Alphaproteobacteria bacterium
Lineage: Bacteria; Pseudomonadati; Pseudomonadota; Alphaproteobacteria
Description: bacterial SSU rRNA
Rfam family: Bacterial small subunit ribosomal RNA
Source: RNAcentral